Molecule: long non-coding RNA, 234 nt
Filed under: Physcomitrium patens
Lineage: Eukaryota; Viridiplantae; Streptophyta; Bryopsida; Funariales; Funariaceae
Description: long non-coding RNA (PPAT_LNC005087)
Source: RNAcentral
CAAAAGAUGUGAUUGAGGACAUAUUAUUGUUGUGAUAUAUUCUAAAAAUCUCUUAUUGUACUAACAUCUUUUGCCAACUAGUUUCUAAACCAUGACUUCACUUUUGAUUCAAUUUAUGUAUAUUAUUAAUGCAUAUUUUAGUAUUAAUAAACUGAAGUUGAUAUAGGAUUUCUAUUGAGGAUAAGAUUGGAGUUUUAGUAAGGCUUCUUUCAUUGAUUGUCUAUGCCAUUGAUA